GUCCGAGUGUUGGUUCCGGUAGCGAUCGAGGGAAGUUAGUACCGAAGUCCGGGAUGGAAGAUGGCGAGAAAAGCUGUGUGUAUUUCUGCGGUGCCCGUACCGCAAACCGACACAGGUAGGUAGGAAGAAGAUUCUAAGGCCAACGGGAGAAGGGUUGUUAAGGAACUCGGCAAAUUGACCCCGUAACUUCGGGAGAAGGGGUGCUCCAGAGAUGGAGCCGCAGAGAAUCGGCCCAAGCAACUGUUUACCAAAAACACAGGUUUGUGCUAAACCGAAAGAUGACGUAUACGAGCUGACGCCUGCCCGGUGCUGGAAGGUUAAGAGGAGAUGUGCAAGCAUUGAAUCGAAGCCCCAGUGAACGGCGGCCGUAACGAUAACGGUCCUAAGGUAGCGAAAUUCCUUGUCAGGUAAGUUCUGACCCGCAUGAAAGGCGUAAUGAUUUGGGCACUGUCUCGACAGCCCGCCCGGCGAAAUUGUAGUACCGGUGAAGAUGCCGGUUACCCGCGACAAGACGGAAAGACCCCAUGGAGCUUUACUGUAGCCUAAUAUUGGGUUUCGAUGUUGCAUGCACAGGAUAGAUGGGACACAGGGAAACAAGUGCUUUGGCAUUUGUGGAGUGGCCGUUGGGAUACCAUCCUUGCGAUAUUGGAAUUCUAACCUGCGCCUUUGAAUCAAGGCGGGGGACAUUGUUAGGUGGGCAGUUUGACUGGGGCGGUCGCCUCCUAAAGAGUAACGGAGGCGUUCAAAGGUUCGCUCAGCUUGAACGGAAAUCAAGCAAAAGAGUGCAAACGCAGAAGCGAGCCUAACUGCGAGACUGACGGGUCGAGCAGUAACGAAAGUUGGAGUUAGUGAUCCGGUGGUAUGUGAGUGGAAAUGCCAUCGCUCAACGGAUAAAAGUUACCCUGGGAUAACAGGCUGAUCUCCCCCAAGAGUCCACAUCGACGGGGAGGUUUGGCACCUCGAUGUCGGCCCAUCGCAUCCUGGGGCUGUAUACGGUCCCAAGGGUUUGGCUGUUCGCCAAUUAAAGCGGUACGCGAGCUGGGUUCAGAACGUCGUGAGACAGUUCGGUCCCUAUCUGUCGUGGGCGCAGGAUAUUUGAUGGGAGCUGUUCCUAGUACGAGAGGACCGGAGCGGACGUACCUCUGGCGCACCAGUUGUUCUGCCAAGGGCAUAGCUGGGCAACUAUGUACGGAUCGGAUAAACGCUGAAAGCAUCUAAGCGUGAAGCCGACCCAAAGAUAAGAUAUCCCAUUGUUUCAAACAAGUAAGACCCCUUGAAGACUACAAGGUUGAUAGGCAUGAUGUGUAAGUGGAGUGAUCCAUUCAGCAAGCAUGUACUAAUAGGUCGAGGGCUUGAGC
Molecule: ribosomal RNA, 1358 nt
Filed under: metagenome
Description: bacterial LSU rRNA
Rfam family: Bacterial large subunit ribosomal RNA
Source: RNAcentral